AAAUAGUGUGUGUUCUAUAUUGAGCUGUUGCCGCCGUUGCUGAUGUGGCUUUAUGAAAGGACAACCUUAAAGUUCCACCACAAGAGGAAUAUAAAGAGGUCCCUCCUGCACCAAGAAAGAUCUGCAGAUCUUUUUCAGUGUUCUUGGAGGUGUGGGGUGUGAGAACUUGAUCAGUUUGUGUCAGCCACCUUGUUCUCUAAAGUUACAAAUUAUAAUACUGUGGUAGAAACAAAUUCAGAUUCAGAUGAUGAAGACAAACUCCAUAUUGUGGAAGAAGAAAGUGUCACAGAUGCAGCUGAUUGUGAAGGUGUACCAGAGGAUGACCUGCCAACAGACCAGACAGUGUUACCAGGGAGGAGCAGUGAAAGAGAAGGGAAUGCUAAGAACUGCUGGGAGGAUGACAGAAAGGAAGGGCAAGAAAUCCUGGGGCCUGAAGCUCAGGCAGAUGAAGCAGGAUGUACAGUAAAAGAUGAUGAAUGCGAGUCAGAUGCAGAAAAUGAGCAAAACCACGAUCCUAAUGUUGAAGAGUUUCUACAACAACAAGACACUGCUGUCAUUUUUCCGGAGGCACCUGAAGAGGACCAGAGGCAGGGCACACCAGAAGCCAGUGGUCAUGAUGAAAAUGGAACACCAGAUGCAUUUUCACAAUUACUCACCUGUCCAUAUUGUGAUAGAGGCUAUAAACGCUUUACCUCUCUGAAAGAACACAUUAAAUAUCGUCAUGAAAAGAAUGAAGAUAACUUUAGUUGCUCCCUGUGCAGUUACACCUUUGCAUACAGAACCCAACUUGAACGUCACAUGACAUCACAUAAAUCAGGAAGAGAUCAAAGACAUGUGACGCAGUCUGGGUGUAAUCGUAAAUUCAAGUGCACUGAGU
Molecule: small RNA, 877 nt
Filed under: Pongo abelii (Sumatran orangutan)
Lineage: Eukaryota; Metazoa; Chordata; Mammalia; Primates; Hominidae
Description: retained intron
Source: RNAcentral